GGAGGCGUCGCCUAGUGGUCGAUGGCAGAGGUUUGCUAAACCUCGACCUUUAAACAAGGUCGCGUGGGUUCGAAUCCCACCGCCUCCG
Molecule: transfer RNA, 88 nt
Filed under: Patescibacteria group bacterium
Lineage: Bacteria
Description: tRNA-Ser
Rfam family: tRNA
About the family: Transfer RNA (tRNA) molecules are approximately 80 nucleotides in length. Their secondary structure includes four short double-helical elements and three loops (D, anti-codon, and T loops).
Source: RNAcentral